Molecule: ribosomal RNA, 463 nt
Filed under: uncultured bacterium
Lineage: Bacteria
Description: partial 16S ribosomal RNA
Rfam family: Bacterial small subunit ribosomal RNA
Source: RNAcentral
GACGAACGCUGGCGGCGUGCUUAACACAUGCAAGUCGAACGGAAAGGCCUUUUCGGAGGUACUCGAGUGGCGAACGGGUGAGUAACACGUGGGUGAUCUGCCCUGCACUCUGGGAUAAGCCUGGGAAACUGGGUCUAAUACCGGAUAGGACCGCACUUUAGUGUGUGUGGUGGAAAGUUUUUUCGGUGUAGGAUGAGCCCGCGGCCUAUCAGCUUGUUGGUGGGGUAAUGGCCUACCAAGGCGGCGACGGGUAGCCGGACUGAGAGGUUGGUCGGCCACAUUGGGACUGAGAUACGGCCCAGACUCCUACGGGAGGCAGCAGUGGGGAAUAUUGCACAAUGGGCGCAAGCCUGAUGCAGCGACGCCGCGUGGGGGAUGACGGCCUUCGGUUUGUAAACUCCUUUCGCCAGGGACGAAGCGUUUUGUGACGGUACCUGGAGAAGAAGCACCGGCUAACUACGUG